ACUUAAAUUGAAGAGUUUGAUCAUGGCUCAGAUUGAACGCUGGCGGCAGGCCUAACACAUGCAAGUCGAGCGGUAGCACAGAGAGCUUGCUCUCGGGUGACGAGCGGCGGACGGGUGAGUAAUGUCUGGGAAACUGCCUGAUGGAGGGGGAUAACUACUGGAAACGGUAGCUAAUACCGCAUAAUGUCGCAAGACCAAAGUGGGGGACCUUCGGGCCUCAUGCCAUCAGAUGUGCCCAGAUGGGAUUAGCUAGUAGGUGGGGUAACGGCUCACCUAGGCGACGAUCCCUAGCUGGUCUGAGAGGAUGACCAGCCACACUGGAACUGAGACACGGUCCAGACUCCUACGGGAGGCAGCAGUGGGGAAUAUUGCACAAUGGGCGCAAGCCUGAUGCAGCCAUGCCGCGUGUGUGAAGAAGGCCUUCGGGUUGUAAAGCACUUUCAGCGGGGAGGAAGGCGGUGAGGUUAAUAACCUCACCGAUUGACGUUACCCGCAGAAGAAGCACCGGCUAACUCCGUGCCAGCAGCCGCGGUAAUACGGAGGGUGCAAGCGUUAAUCGGAAUUACUGGGCGUAAAGCGCACGCAGGCGGUCUGUCAAGUCGGAUGUGAAAUCCCCGGGCUCAACCUGGGAACUGCAUUCGAAACUGGCAGGCUAGAGUCUUGUAGAGGGGGGUAGAAUUCCAGGUGUAGCGGUGAAAUGCGUAGAGAUCUGGAGGAAUACCGGUGGCGAAGGCGGCCCCCUGGACAAAGACUGACGCUCAGGUGCGAAAGCGUGGGGAGCAAACAGGAUUAGAUACCCUGGUAGUCCACGCCGUAAACGAUGUCGAUUUGGAGGUUGUGCCCUUGAGGCGUGGCUUCCGGAGCUAACGCGUUAAAUCGACCGCCUGGGGAGUACGGCCGCAAGGUUAAAACUCAAAUGAAUUGACGGGGGCCCGCACAAGCGGUGGAGCAUGUGGUUUAAUUCGAUGCAACGCGAAGAACCUUACCUGGUCUUGACUCCACAGAACUUUCCAGAGAUGGAUUGGUGCCUUCGGGAACUGUGAGACAGGUGCUGCAUGGCUGUCGUCAGCUCGUGUUGUGAAAUGUUGGGUUAAGUCCCGCAACGAGCGCAACCCUUAUCCUUUGUUGCCAGCGGUUAGGCCGGGAACUCAAAGGAGACUGCCAGUGAUAAACUGGAGGAAGGUGGGGAUGACGUCAAGUCAUCAUGGCCCUUACGACCAGGGCUACACACGUGCUACAAUGGCAUAUACAAAGAGAAGCGACCUCGCGAGAGCAAGCGGACCUCAUAAAGUAUGUCGUAGUCCGGAUUGGAGUCUGCAACUCGACUCCAUGAAGUCGGAAUCGCUAGUAAUCGUAGAUCAGAAUGCUACGGUGAAUACGUUCCCGGGCCUUGUACACACCGCCCGUCACACCAUGGGAGUGGGUUGCAAAAGAAGUAGGUAGCUUAACCUUCGGGAGGGCGCUUACCACUUUGUGAUUCAUGACUGGGGUGAAGUCGUAACAAGGUAACCGUAGGGGAACCUGCGGUUGGAUCACCUCCUUACCUUAAAGAA
RNAcentral lists this ribosomal RNA (1553 nucleotides) under Klebsiella pneumoniae subsp. pneumoniae. RNAcentral's name for it is "bacterial SSU rRNA". It matches the Rfam family "Bacterial small subunit ribosomal RNA". Lineage: Bacteria; Pseudomonadati; Pseudomonadota; Gammaproteobacteria; Enterobacterales; Enterobacteriaceae. The record is from RNAcentral.